This is a long non-coding RNA of Lemur catta (Ring-tailed lemur), 319 nucleotides long. RefSeq lists it as uncharacterized. NCBI's taxonomy places the organism in Eukaryota, Metazoa, Chordata, Mammalia, Primates, Lemuridae. The transcript has 3 exons. The record is from RefSeq and is a predicted model, not a curated record.
GCAGCGGUCUCUAGGGAAGAGCUCCGUACAGUGGCAUCCCUGGACACGUGAAGAGCUCCCGGACCAGUAAAGCACGGGGUCCUUCGAGUGCUGUGGACCAGGUAGUGCUGUAAUGGAAACAACCCCAGUGGCGGCGUGGGACGUGGUUGAGGUUUUGAGAUCCCCGGAGAGAUCGCGGAGCCCGUGGACACGUGUGUCGUGGGAAACUGGACUACCCUACAUGAAGAUUGUGUUGCCAUGGGACGAAUAGCCGUGGUCUCUAGGGAAGAGUUCCGUACAGUGGCAUCUCUGGACACGUGAAGAGCUCCCGGACCCAUAA